This 497-nucleotide ribosomal RNA is filed under the name uncultured bacterium. RNAcentral's name for it is "partial 16S ribosomal RNA". It matches the Rfam family "Bacterial small subunit ribosomal RNA", at positions 28 to 507 of the family's 1533-position model. The record is from RNAcentral.
GAUGAACGCUGGCGGCGUGCCUAAUACAUGCAAGUCGAGCGAACAGACGAGGAGCUUGCUCCUCUGACGUUAGCGGCGGACGGGUGAGUAACACGUGGAUAACCUACCUAUAAGACUGGGAUAACUUCGGGAAACCGGAGCUAAUACCGGAUAAUAUAUUGAACCGCAUGGUUCAAUAGUGAAAGACGGUUUUGCUGUCACUUAUAGAUGGAUCCGCGCCGCAUUAGCUAGUUGGUAAGGUAACGGCUUACCAAGGCAACGAUGCGUAGCCGACCUGAGAGGGUGAUCGGCCACACUGGAACUGAGACACGGUCCAGACUCCUACGGGAGGCAGCAGUAGGGAAUCUUCCGCAAUGGGCGAAAGCCUGACGGAGCAACGCCGCGUGAGUGAUGAAGGUCUUCGGAUCGUAAAACUCUGUUAUUAGGGAGGAACAAAUGUGUAAGUAACUAUGCACGUCUUGACGGUACCUAAUCAGAAAGCCACGGCUAACUACGUG